UGAGCUUUCUGCUGCUUCUCUUCUCCUCUGUCUCUCUCUCUCUCUCUUUCGCCUUUCGCUGCCUUGCGUUUCUUCCUGCCGGACUGAGAAACAUGGGCUGCCUCUCAAUGGUUCCCCCUCGUGCCUCCCUGAACAAAUCAGGCCCCACAACUCAAACAGACCUGUUCUUUCAGUUCUUUCCCUUUCUUUGACCUCCUCGACUUGCCCACUGAAGAGCUCAAGAUCAAGUUUUUCCCACACUGACUUCACAAUUUCUUAAGGCUUCUUAAGAUCUUUCCGUCCCACCAGACUCGCAAAACUGUGCUAACCAAUUCCAAAUCUUGACAGCCCAAGUGAGUGUCUUCAGUCUUCUGAUGCGAAGAAAUCCAACAAAGAUGGGGAGACGGCUGAAUGCUGAAUGGACAGAUGAAGAAAAAGAAGAAGAAGAAGAAGAAGAGGAAGAAGUCAGCAAGCAACCUUAAAGGAUGGGUGAGAAACGGAGGAGGCGUGAGAGAGUGAGAAAUGGGGUUCCAACUUAGAGGAGUGCAAUAUAAGAGAGGGUGAUAAGCGAGAAGAGAAGUGAGGGAUCUGGACUCAGCUGCAGCUGAAGAUGACCAAAGGAUAGAUACAGCAUAAAAGGAACAGCAGCAGCUUUUGCAGAACAGAAGACAAAGAAAGUAAAAAAAAGGAGUGUGAAGAGAGGACAACUCUGCACCAACAUGGCAUGGAAAACCAUGUGUUACGCUUUUCUGUGGGUCCAGAAAGACGUGCAUGUGCAGAACACAGGGCCUAGAGGAAUGCUGUCUUCCACCUCUGCUGUCUUUUGUCAUCUGUGGAAUUCUGUCCCACUGAAAUUAAAGAAGGACCUCGGCUUGUUUACUCUACAGAUAAGUAAAUAAAAUCCUUGGAACAUCCA
Molecule: long non-coding RNA, 895 nt
Filed under: Astyanax mexicanus (Mexican tetra)
Lineage: Eukaryota; Metazoa; Chordata; Actinopteri; Characiformes; Acestrorhamphidae
Description: lncRNA (ENSAMXG00005008970.1)
Source: RNAcentral